AGUGAACGCUGGCGGUAGGCCUAACACAUGCAAGUCGAACGGCAGCACAGUAAGAGCUUGCUCUUACGGGUGGCGAGUGGCGGACGGGUGAGGAAUACAUCGGAAUCUACUUUUUCGUGGGGGAUAACGUAGGGAAACUUACGCUAAUACCGCAUACGACCUACGGGUGAAAGCAGGGGAUCUUCGGACCUUGCGCGAUUGAAUGAGCCGCUGUCGGAUUAGCUAGUUGGCGGGGUAAAGGCCCACCAAGGCGACGAUCCGUAGCUGGUCUGAGAGGAUGAUCAGCCACACUGGAACUGAGACACGGUCCAGACUCCUACGGGAGGCAGCAGUGGGGAAUAUUGGACAAUGGGCGCAAGCCUGAUCCAGCCAUAGCGCGUGGGUGAAGAAGGCCUUCGGGUUGUAAAGCCCUUUUGUUGGGAAAGAAAAGCAGCAGGUUAAUACCCCGCUGUGCGGACGGUACCCAAAGAAUAAGCACCGGCUAACUUCGU
This 491-nucleotide ribosomal RNA is filed under the name uncultured bacterium. Its description in RNAcentral is "partial 16S ribosomal RNA". It matches the Rfam family "Bacterial small subunit ribosomal RNA", at positions 29 to 506 of the family's 1533-position model. The record is from RNAcentral.